This 354-nucleotide ribosomal RNA is filed under the name Demospongiae sp. GW5976. RNAcentral's name for it is "eukaryotic LSU rRNA". Lineage: Eukaryota; Metazoa; Porifera; Demospongiae. The record is from RNAcentral.
GCCCGGCUGGCUGGCUGUUUGCGGCCGGCAACGGGUGGGCCGGAGAGGCCGCUUUGCUGCGAGCGUGGUGUGGAGCUAGCUGCGAGCCCGGCGCUGGCGUCGGAGUUGCCUUCCGACAUUCGAGGGUUGCUCUGUGUCUCCGGUGCGGCCCAGUGGAUGGGGUGGCAGGAAGACCCGGGCUCCGCUAGGAGCGACUGCUCAGGCCCGCCUUUCACGCGUCCGCCGUGGCGGUGAGAGGGUGGCGGCUGCGAGGGGACUGGCGUCGGCCCCUCUGAGCGGCCUCGCCCGCAGCGCCGUGGGUCCCACUUCUGUGCGGACGACUCAGGGUGAGCCUGUGCCGAGCGGCGGCACGCG